CUCUCUCUCCCUCUGGUUCUAUUUCUCCAUCCCUCUCUCCUUUGCUUUCCUUCUGUAGCAGGAGGAGCUGCAGACAAAACCCCUCAGACACCGAGUUGUAGAAGGAAGGGCUUUAUUCAGCUGGGAGCAUCAGCAGACUCACGUCUCCAAAAACUGAGCUCUCCUAGUGAGCAAUUCCUGUCCCUCUUAAGGGCUUACAACUCUAAGGGGGUCCGCGUGAGAGGGUCGUGAUGGAUUGAGGAAGCAGAGGACAACGAGAGCGAAACCACAGAGAAAAGAAACAUCCCGUGCAUCACGGCCUGACAAUGGAUUCCUGUUUCCUGUACAAUGUGGAGUCUCCAAUAUAGCCUGUUUGAAAACUGGAAAGGAGAGCACCGACACGAUGCUGGUCUUCCACGCAUUCCUGGAAGUUUCUGGGGCCCCACAGAGCUCGCGAAACAAACAGUCAACAUGGUCACGCUUUCGGGGGGCAGAAACUUGAGCAACAGGCACCUUUACAGAGGGCAAAGAAACGUGGAAUCCAGAAUCACGCUUCAGUUGGCCUGGGUGUGACUCCUGUGUGGAUGGGACUAUCUGCCUCGAGCUCUGUUGCAGGGCUCAACGUGGGGAUAUGUCAUCUGUGAACCAUGUGGAUGAAAAACAGACAACUACCUGAGUCUCGGCUCAUUGCUCUCUGGGGAAUUCGCUCAUUCCUUCGGAAACGGAAUUGGUCUGAAUUGCUCCGGGAUGAAGUAACCCAGGCUGGUGAUCCAGAGGGCCGCUGAGCGCCCCGCCGGCCAACGGGGCUGUGGGCCCAGCACUCAGCCUGUACUGGGCACCCAACAUAUUCCCGGAGUUCUGGGUCCUGUUGGUUCUGGAGGCAUAAGACAUUUUUUGUCUCUGCCUUCUGUUCUCUGUUUCUUGCUCCUUUUGUCUCUCCGUCCAUCCUUCCAUCUGUUCUACCCUCCCUCCCCUGGCUUUUUCCUCCCUUUCUCCCUCCCUCCCUCUUUCUCUCCCUUCCGGGGUCCCUCCUUCCACCCAUCCUUGCCUAGCUCCAUCCUUCCAUCUCACUCUGUCUCUGUUCCUGUCCUCAUCUCUGCCUGCCUUCCCUCUUGCCUGGAAAGGGCAGCACCCUGGUUUGCGCGAGGUCUCGGGUCUUUAUUUAGUUGUAAGGCGCUCUAUGGUGCUGGCGAGGAGGCUGGCGGGACACGGGUUGGCAAGUGAUGGUGAGCGAAGAGGCGGAGGAGUUGAGCCACAGAAAGGAGAACUGGCCUGGAUUCUGCCCCGGCCCAGUGUUUCGCGGACUGAGGUCUCCGCCAACCCGAUUGAAGAACGCGGGGGGGAAAGGGAGGAGAGCUCCGCCUGGGCUAGUUAGAAGACUAGGCUGCUGCCUGGAAACCCGCGCAUGCGCAGUAGACAGCCCACCUCCCUGUACCUGGACCGGCCCUGGGAUCCCCGGGAUGCUCAGGAAUGCUUUCUUUUCAUUGUUGACAGCCCUACUCUGUGUGGAGUCUCUCGCUGGACCUGGAACUCAGGGAUCCUAGGGAGGUCAGCUGGAAGGGAAGACACGCCUCUCCAUACCAAGCCUGAGGUUCACUGCAAAAGAGAGGCCGCCACCCUGCCCCAAACCCGCCCCAACCUGCUCCUCCAGCAGAGCCCUGUGUUCUUCCUGUCUGAGGAGUGGUUCCAGCAAAGCGGGCUCUUCCACGUCCUUCAGCUCCCCCAGUGGCGCCGGAUCUAGGAAAGGUUGUGCCUUUUGCUGAAACUCUGGGGUUGACAGGAGCUCAUCUAACAGGCUGGAGGUGAGUGCAGACGAGAGCCCCGGCUCCUGGAGCGGUUGGGAGGUGCCCGGUUGGCUGGCAUCUGCGCUUGACGCGGAGGCCUCCGGGGUCACGAGCUCGGGAGGUGAAGGUGCCCCGUCUUCGGGUUCCCAUGCCGCCCUGGCGACCUGGGGCUCCAGCCCCACCACGGACUCCGGUGGGACGUGGGUGGUGCAAGCACACCUUUCCCCUGUGACUCAGCUUGAGGGGCCCCAAGCUGUCCCACUGAGCACGCGCCCAGCAGGCCGUCGCGCUGUGGGUUCUGGUCUUCCUGUCAUUUGUUGGGGUUCGGAGGCCACCAGGGAGUCUGAGGAUGGGAGAGCCCCAGUUUCGGAGGGAGGGGCCAGGACAGUGAACACAAAGCCCCGCAUGCUCGGGCAGGUUGGGAGAGUCCUUCUGCCUGUGCAGCCUGGCUGGGCUGGAGCAGGGGGAUGACCCUUGCUUCCUGGCUCACGAAAGCCCCCUGUGGGAGAGCCCCAGGAGCGCAGGGCAUGUGGGGUGCAGGAAGCGACGUUCCCCACGCCCCGGUGUAGGUGAACCCGAUAGAGGAGGGAGGAGGGUGACACCCACCAGGGGUGCUAAUUAGUAACCACAGUGGCCUCAAAGAACUCAAAUGAAAGGAAGACUUGCAAGUCUCUCACUUUAAGUCCAGAGCUAGAAAUGAUUAAGCUUAGUGAAGAUGUAGAAUUUUCAUAGCUAGAGAGAAGUCAACACUUGGCUUCAGAACUUCAAAGGAUGGGCUGACUCUCUUUGAGGACCACUGCAGCUGGUGACUUUAGGUUACAGCCAGUGCUCAUUGACCACUCUGAAAAUCUCAGGGCCCUUAAGAAUUAUGCAAAAUCUAUUCUUUCUGUGCUCUAGAAAUGGAACAUCACUGUCUGGGUGACAGCACAUCUGUUAAUAGCAUGGUUUACUGAAUAUUUUAAUCCCACUAUUGAGACCUACUGCUCAGAAAAAAAAAAAAAA
Molecule: long non-coding RNA, 2765 nt
Filed under: Homo sapiens (human)
Lineage: Eukaryota; Metazoa; Chordata; Mammalia; Primates; Hominidae
Description: non-protein coding lnc-ANKRD20A4-5:2
Source: RNAcentral